AUUUUCGUAGUUUACUUAAAACAUUACACUUUCAUUGUAAAAAAGAAUUAUAAUUCCGUAAAUA
Molecule: transfer RNA, 64 nt
Filed under: Potamanthellus edmundsi
Lineage: Eukaryota; Metazoa; Arthropoda; Insecta; Ephemeroptera; Neoephemeridae
Description: tRNA-Glu
Source: RNAcentral